RNAcentral lists this long non-coding RNA (916 nucleotides) under Homo sapiens (human). RNAcentral describes it as "non-protein coding lnc-HEATR6-1:2". The record is from RNAcentral. Lineage: Eukaryota; Metazoa; Chordata; Mammalia; Primates; Hominidae.
CUGGUCUUGAACUCCUGGGCUCAAAUGAUCCUCCUGCCUUGGCCUCCCAAAGUGCUGGGAUUACAGAUGUGAGCCACUGCAACUGGCCUGGUGUAGGAGUCUUAUUUUUCUGUCAGAGGAGGGCGUUCCCUUGGCUCAGAGCCUUGCUUAGGUAAUGUAGAAGGACCCAGGGUACACAGGGUGGGUGGCUAUUCUCCAGAAAUGUCAGUUUCUGGGCAGGGCUUAGGUGUCUGCAGUCCCUAGUCCCACCCCUGGCCUUGCAUUCCAGCUCAGCGGGUGGAAGGUAUAAAUUUCAGCUGCUCUCAGCCCUGCUGUGUUUUUCCAAAGCCUUCCAACAGCAACAUGAAGUUGGCAGCCUUCCUCCUCCUGUGAUCCUCAUCAUCUUCAGCCUAGAGGUACAAGAGCUUCAGGCUGCAGGAGACCGGCUUUUGGAUACUGCUAAUCAGUCCUAGCACUCUUUCUCUUUGAACCUGGACAAGGUGUCUGACCCUUCUCAACACAGCAUCAGACAGCCACCUCUAUUGACUGAAGUUGACAAUGGAGAAUAAAACUCAUUACCCCUGCUGAAUCCAGGGGCCCCUUUUUACAGAUGAGAAAAGUUCCAGAAAGACCCAGAGACAUAAUCAGGUACCUGCGUCGAGCUCUGCACAGGUGACUGGGACUGCAACCCCGGAGACCACUGUGUCAGCAAUGGGUGUGGCCAUGAGUGUGUUGCAGGAUGAAGAGUUAUCUUAAGGAUCAUCUUUCCCUAAGAUCGUCAUCCCUUCCUGGAGUUCCUAUCUUCCAAGAUGUGACUGUCUGGAGUUCCUUGACUAGGAAGAUGGAUGAAAACAGCAAGCCUGUGGAUGGAGACUACAGGGGAUAUGGGAGGCAGGGAAGAGGGGUUGUUUCUUUUAAUAAAUCAUCAUUGUUAAAA